AUUGAACGCUGGCGGCAGGCCUAACACAUGCAAGUCGAGCGGAUGAAGAGAGCUUGCUCCUGGAUUCAGCGGCGGACGGGUGAGUAAUGCCUAGGAACCUGCCUGGUAGUGGGGGAUAACGUCCGGAAACGGGCGCUAAUACCGCAUACGUCCUGAGGGAGAAAGUGGGGGAUCUUCGGACCUCACGCUAUCAGAUGAGCCUAGGUCGGAUUAGCUAGUUGGUGGGGUAAAGGCCUACCAAGGCGACGAUCCGUAACUGGUCUGAGAGGAUGAUCAGUCACACUGGAACUGAGACACGGUCCAGACUCCUACGGGAGGCAGCAGUGGGGAAUAUUGGACAAUGGGCGAAAGCCUGAUCCAGCCAUGCCGCGUGUGUGAAGAAGGUCUUCGGAUUGUAAAGCACUUUUAGUUGGGAGGAAGGGCAGUAAGUUAAUACCUUGCUGUUUUGACGGUACCAACAGAAUAAGCACCGGCUAACUUCGUG
RNAcentral lists this ribosomal RNA (484 nucleotides) under uncultured bacterium. RNAcentral describes it as "partial 16S ribosomal RNA". It matches the Rfam family "Bacterial small subunit ribosomal RNA", at positions 30 to 507 of the family's 1533-position model. The record is from RNAcentral.